CAGUCGCCGCGGUAAUACGAAGGGUGCAAGCGUUAAUCGGAAUUACUGGGCGUAAAGCGUGCGUAGGCGGUUUGUUAAGUCUGUUGUGAAAUCCCCGGGCUCAACCUGGGAAUGGCAAUGGAUACUGGCAAGCUAGGGUGUGUCAGAGGAUGGUGGAAUUCCCGGUGUAGCGGUGAAAUGCGUAGAGAUCGGGAGGAACAUCAGUGGCGAAGGCGGCCAUCUGGGACAACACUGACGCUGAGGCACGAAAGCGUGGGGAGCAAACAGGAUUAGAUACCCGCGUAGUCCCUGUCUCUUAUAC
Molecule: ribosomal RNA, 301 nt
Filed under: uncultured bacterium
Lineage: Bacteria
Description: partial 16S ribosomal RNA
Rfam family: Bacterial small subunit ribosomal RNA
Source: RNAcentral